Long non-coding RNA from Chenopodium quinoa (quinoa), 9037 nucleotides. RefSeq lists it as uncharacterized. Lineage: Eukaryota; Viridiplantae; Streptophyta; Magnoliopsida; Caryophyllales; Amaranthaceae. The record is from RefSeq and is a predicted model, not a curated record. The transcript has 7 exons.
UUUACUGAGGGGGUUAUAUAAGGGGUUACUAGAAGGGUUAAGGGCAGGUGGGUUUCAUAAUCAAUUAAUUUUGGUUGACUAGAUGUGUUAUUAAUGGCAGAUGGUUUACUAUAUAGUUUACUAGAGGGGGUUACUUAAGGGUUAUAUAAGGGGUUACUAGAGGUGUUACUUGAGGCAUUAUUUAAGGGGUUACAUAUUAGGGGUUACUUUUCAUGUUGCUAGGGAUUGUGGUUAUUUUAUUAUUUAUAAUAGUAUAUGUUUAGAAGGUUGUGUUACUUAUUUAGUUUUUUGUCUUUUAUUUGGUGAUUUAUUGUGUUGUAUCUUCUUUUGUGUAGGGGUGAUGAGAUGAUUGUCUGAUGUAGACCUACUGGUGUGUUUGAAUUAAUGAAAGUGUUGACUAAAGAUCGGUUGAAAGCUGUUUAUGCUGUUGGUUUUCAAAGUUAGCGUCACAUAAAGUUGAAUGAAUUUCCAAGGGGCAUGCUUCGAUGGUUGAGCAAAUGUUUUGAUCCUUCUAGUAGAUUAUUUAUACUCCAAGUGGGGAUCAAUUUCAAUUAACUGCAGCUGAUGUAUACGAUUUGUUUGGAAUCCUAAUGGGCAAAUUAGUUGUUCCAGUGACUGGUGCUCAUUCAGAGUUAAAGAAGUCUUGGAAUAUGAAGUAUGGUGGGACAAAGCAGCAGGUUACUGUGAAGCAGUUGUCUGAAAUGUUAACAUCUGAUCCACGAAUGAAAUCAGGAAAUUAUGAUUUUAAAAAAUGUUUUGUGAUGUAUUCUAUGAUUACAUUGCUAACACCAACCUCUAAUAGAUUGGCUGAUAUGAAGCUUGUUGAAGCUUUAGAAAAUGUGGACAUGAUUAGCGAAUAUAAUUGGUGUCAGUAUGUUCUUGAUGAUUUGGCUGACAAAAUGAAGAAAUAUAAUCCAAAGCAGAAGUAUGUUGUUGGGUGUAUCUUGUUGUUGCAAAUGUGUUAUUUCCAUGGGCUUCAAAAGACAGGGGGUACUGAUCCUUGUCCAAGUUCUUUGCCGUUGUUUAAACACUGGAGUAUUGAAGACUUCAGAAAUAAAUUAGUUGCUGAAAAUGGGAACUAUAGUGAUGGUGUUUUGGAUAAUGCUACCUAUCCAAUUACUGAAGUUGGUUCUAUUCCAGACUUGGAGCCUUAUAUUGAUGGAAGGGAGGAUGGAAAGGAGGAUGAAGAGGUAGAAGAGGAUGAUGGAAAGGAGGAACACACUAGUGGAAAAUAUGUCAUUUGUAACGGGUUAUUCGUAACGGGCAAAGCUAUGCCCGUUACAUUUAAUAUAUUUGUAACGGAUAAAAUACGCCCGUUACAAAUAAUAUAGUAUUCGUAACGGACAAAAUAUUGCCCGUUACAAAUAAUAUAGUAUUCGUAACGGACACCAUGUCCCCGUUACGAAUAGGUGGCCCAGCUAAUGAGAGCCAAAGAGGAGCCCAUUACUUUUUACUCUGUAUUAGGGUUUCACACUUCAUUGUCCUUAGCCGUCAAACCUCCUAUUUUUUCUCUCUCCUCCUCUAUCCUCUCUGCUCUUAAUUUUCUCACUCAAUCUCUCUCUCUUCUCCUGAUUCACCUCAAUCCAUUCACUCAAUCUCCUCCAUUUCACCACACUAAUUCCCAAAGUUCCCCUCUUUCUCUCUCCUCUAAAUUGCAUCAAUGGCGGAGGACCCAAAAAUUGUAUAUGAGGGUGAUGAUUCAGGGUCAAGAACAUCGCAAUGGGUGUUUAUAUCUCUUCAAUUUUUUCAAGCAAAUUAGAUUGGAGAAACCCGAUUAUUCUUCAAGAGAAAGCGAACAAAACCCUAGUUUUUUCCCCUAAUUUUACCGCCUAAAUAUCCCAUUUUUCUGCUCAUUCUAACCCUAAGAUUUUAAAGCUGAAUCGCCGCCCUCCUGUGUACGAUUCUGAUGAUGCAGUUCCUCAACGAUGUUCUCCUGGUUGUUAGAUAUGAAACCAGGGCAAAACAAAGAGAGGAAGACUGUUUUGUACCUGGUGUUUGAGUACAUGGACACUGAUCUUAAGAACUACAUCCGUAGUUUCCGUAAUACCGGGGAUACUGUCCCUCCUCUGAUCAUCAAGAGUUUGAUGUACCAACUGUGUAAAGAUGUUGCUUUUUGCCAUGGUCAUGGUGUCAUUCACAGAAAAGGAUUGCACAAGCCCGGAAUGCACUGCCUAAUGGAGAUGUGAAGGUCAAGGGUGAGCUAUAGGUUCUGAUAUCCGAGAAAAGUCAGAUUUUUUUACAGUUCUUACAAUACGUGUAACUUCAAGGUGUGUCUAUGAGUAUUAUAUUCGCUAAAAUGUUAGUAUAGGUGGCUAUUUAUACAAUGCGUGGAGGUUUUUGUAACCUAAUAGUCUCAUGACUCUCAACCUAUAUGUUAUAACAUGCGAAUUUGCAAUUACCUGUAUGUUGUAUAUCUUUUGGUGUCAAAUUGUCAAUAAUGCUAUAUAAUCUUCAAAUAUGCUCUUCUGUGUAUAAUGGCUUAUAUAUUUGUUUGGACUUGUCAAUGUAAUUAUGAAUGCCAUAUGUAAGCCUGAAACAAGAUGAAGAAUUAUCAGUGCACUUGGUUAUUCUCAUGAUUUAUACACAAGAUGAGACGGUCUUUCGAGAGCCUUUGAUUUUUUAUGUCCUGUUUGUUUGCUGAUGUUGUUGCUAUUGUUGUCGUUCUAAGUCUGUUUUUGGUUUUUUGUUUGGUAAUAAUCUAAAUUUAAUAGUUUGUGGUCUGGAAAAUAUUGAAGCUGAAUAGAAUCUUUGUUGGGUAUGUUGUUAUAGAAUCAUUGGUCUAGAUUAUAGGGUUUGUGAUCUUGUGCUUUUGAGCAUGGAUUGAGAGUUACUAAACUUUGGAUUUCUUAGUAGAUAUUUGAUGGUCACAAUGGCAUAUUAGCUGCUAUAUUUGCUAAGGAGCACCUGUUGAGCAAUGCUCUGAGUGCCGUUUCUGAAGGUUCUAGUAGGGAAGAGUGUGUGGCUUCAAGCACUUCCUUGUGCCCUGGUUGCUGGGUUUGUCAAAAGACUCAAAACUGAUAUUAAGUUCCAGCGGAAAGUACUGAUAUACUUCAUUGGAGAAGCUGAGGUGCAACAUAAUCAUCAUGCAGAGUGAUUACUUGGAAAUAGUAGGCUUGAACAAAUAUGCAGGAAGUUAGACAAUGAAAGAAGUACUUCAACUUUUACAAUGUCUGCUGCUGCUCUUAGUUGCUGCUGCCAGCUUUUGGUUUCUGCUGUUUUGCUACUAAUAAUGCUGCUCUUUGUUGCUACUGAUACUGCUGCAUUUGGAUGCUACUAUGAUUUGUUAUUUUCUAUGUUCGUUAUUUACUGAAAUUUAAUUAACAUAUUUAGCAUUACAAUAUUGUUGGUUUAUAAGCAGCUUUUCUGAUGUAAAUUGAAUUCGGUGUAUAUGCUAUGAUUGUAAAUAUAUUUGGAUUUGUUAUAAAUUAUUAUAAUAAUUUGGGUGGCAAAUGGAAAGAAGAAUAGGGGUAUUUGUAACUAGCACCUGAAAUGCUAGUUACAAAUGCCCCUAAUUUUUUGUCUUAUUCGGAGAUUAUUCGUAACGGACAUUAUCAUUGCCCGUUACGAAUAACUACUUAUUCGUAAUGGGCACUUACAAUGUCCGUUACAAAUACGUACUUAUUCGUAACGGGCGUUUCAAGUGCCCGUAACGAAUAAUGGGUUAUUUGUAACGGGCGUUACAGGUGCCCGUUACGAAUAAUGGGUUAUUCGUAACGGGCGUUUCAGGUGCUCGUUACGAAUAAGUAGUUAUUCGUAACGGACGGUUCCUGUUACGAAUAAUAAUGGCCAUCCGUAACGGCCGCAUACGUAACGGACGCUGCCCAUUACGGAUGGGCCCUUUUUUCCCGUUACGAAUGGCCUUUUUUCCACUAGUGACAUAAUAUUGAGAAGGAUGAACAGAAGAAGGGUGAAAAAGAUAAGAAAGAGAUGAAGAAAGGAGUUGCUGGUGAGAAGAAAACCAAAGGAGUUGUUGUUGAGAAGAAAACCAUUGGUUAUACAAGAAAAAAAAAGAGUUGGUAAUGAAGUUUCUAAUGGGGAAGGGAAGAAAAAAGGAGAGAAAGAUGCUUUUCAUGUGGAUGGGACAAAUGAAAGAGAGAAAGUAUUUGAAAAGAAAAAAAGAGAAGGAAAAAUUGCUGAAGUUUCAGAAGAAAAAAAAGAAACAGGAGUGUGUGAAGUGACAGCUUUGCUUGAAGUGGCAAUGAAUGUAGUUUCUUCUAGAAGGUUUGUUACUUUUGAUCUUCCCGAAGAAAUUCAAUCUAAUGAGGAGAUCAAUCAAGUUGCCAAGAAUGUAAGUAUAAUUUUGUAUUGGUCUUUUUUUUUUAUUAUUUAUGUUUCUUUUUUAUUUUUGUUUUGAUUUAUUUUAUCUGUUAUUAUAGGUUAAUUCUUUGUGUUGAUUGGGAUUACUUGCUUCUUUAUAAGGGAUUACUUGAAUUUAUAUUAAUUGGGGUUACUUAUUUUUUUCACUGGGGUUACUUGUUUUUUAGUUGGGGUUACUUGUUCUUAAUUAGGGGUGACUUUAAUUUAUUUUUGUUGGGGUUACUUUUUUUGUGUUCAUUUAGAUUACUUGUUUUUGUAUUAGGGGUUAAUGUAUUCUUUAUAUGUACUUUGUUGUGGUUACUUAUUUUUUUUUAGGGUUACUAGAAUUAGUUAAGGGAAUUAUUAAAUGGACUUUUAGAUGGAGUUUUACAUGGGUUAUUGAAAAGGUUAUUUGGUGUUUCUAGGGAUUACUUUAAUUUGUUUAUAUAUGUUAGGGGGUGAUAUUGUGGAUUUAUCUGUUAUUAUAGGUUACUUUUUUGUGUUGAUUGGGGUUACUUGCUUCUUUAUUAAGGGUUAUUUGAAUUUAUUUUUGUUGGGGUUACUUAUUUUUUUCAGGGGUUACUCUUGUUUGGUUUCACAGGGGUUUCUUGUUUAUUAGUUGGGGUUACUUUUUUCUUUUUAGGGGUUACUUGUAUUUAUUUUUGUUGGGGUUACUUAUGUUUUUCCAUGGGUAGUGUUUUUUUGGCAUUAUUCUUGUUUGUAUUCAUUAGGGUUACUUGUUUUUUAGUUAGGGUUACUUUUUUUUAUUAGGGGUUACUUGUUCUUAAUUUGGGGUGACUUUAAUUAUUUUUGUUGGGGUUUCAUUUUUUUCUGGGGGUUACUUUUUUUCUGUUCAUUGGGGUUACUUUUGUUGUGUUUACUGGGGUUACUUGCUUAGGGGUUAAUGUACUCUUUAUGUGUAUUUUGUUUGGGUUACUUAUUUGUUUGUUGAUUGUUACUAGAAGAAUUAGUUAAGGGGAUUAUUAGAUGGAUUUUUAGAGGGGUUACUAAAAAUGUUACUUGGUGUUUCAAGGUUUAUUUUAAUAUGUUUAUAUAUGUUAGGGGUUUUUUUUAGAGUUUCUUAAUUCUUUAUUUUUUGUUAAUUUAUCUCUUGUUUUUAUAUAGGAUGUUGAGGAAAACUAUAUGCUGUUGAAGAGGGAUAUUAAUUACUUUGUUAUCAAUUUGACCAACGUAUUGAUUCGAUUAAGGUUCAAUCAGCAGCUGUAGAAGAAGAUUCUAAGUUGCCUAAAAAGGAGAGAUCACCUGAGCUUUCUCAGUUGGAUCCAAUAUUUAAUGACCAGUCAUUUUGGGCACAGAUUGACAUGAUUGUUAAUCAAACUGCUCUAAUGAAGAAAUUUGAAGAGGACUUGCCUUCAUUUCAACUUUUUUCAAAUAAAAGUCCUGAUUUGUCAAUUGAAACUUCGCCAAAUGUAAAUAAAGAUAUUUUUGCUCAAGUGUCUGAGAAAAUACCACCAUAAAUUGAUUCUCCUGUUUUGGAAGAUGUGGCAUGUGGAUUUGUUAAUGAUGCACUGAGGUUGACAAAUGUAGAGCAAACUUCUGAAGUAGAUGGAUCUUCUAGAGCAGUUGUAGAAGAAGAUCAACCUUUUGAAGCUGAAAUUCAGAAAGGUCAUAUAUCUGAAGCUAGAGUUGAGGGAGAUCAUUCUUCUGAAAUUGGGGUUGAAGGAGAUCAUUCUUGUGAAUCUUCUGUGCCUGAUAUUCAGUCUACUGAAGUUGGAAUUGAAGAUAUACAGCUUGACAAUGCUCGAGAUCUUGAAAUGGAAGAGGCUUCUGUUGUUGAAAAGACUAACACAGUUGAAAUAGGUUUACCUUCAUUUGACCUUUUUUCGUAUACAAAUCCUAAUCUUUCAACUCCAAUUUUAACUCCUUAAAUCUUCCUCUAGUUUCAGAUCCAAUUACACCACAAAUUGAUUCUCAAAAUGUGGAAGAUUUUUCAUGUGCUGUUAUUAAUGAUGUGGUGAAGGGUAUAAAUGAUGAGCAUUGCUCAAAAGAUAUGGUAUUUGAAGAAACUGAAUUUCAGAAUGUUCAUAGCAAUGAUUCUAAAGUUGGAAUUCAGAACAUUCAGAUUGUGAAAGCUGAUGAUUUUAAUAUGGAAGAAGUCACAACCAACAUAGAAGAAAAGAAACAGUUGUCUGAAGCAUGCAUUGGUACUGAAACUUUUAACAAUUCAGAAAUUCAGCUUUCUCAAAUUGAGACUGAAAAUUAUCAAGUCAAAGUUGUUCCUGAAAUUGUGAAUAUUGUAGAUUCACAAAAUGAAAAUAAAGGUUCUCAAAUGGUACCGAUUCCUGAGAUGGAAGUACAUGUACUGUAGUUGAGAAUAUUAUAGAUUCUCAGAUGGGAGAUGCUGUGAUGGAUACGACAGGUGAUUCUUUGGGUUCAAAGCAGAAUGAAAAAAUAGAGAAUGCAGGUGGUAGUCAAGUACAGGAAAUUUUAAAUAUAGAUGAUUCUGAAAUGGUUCCUGCAUUGGCUGCUGUUCCUGUUGCUGCAUCUGUCCCUGUCUCUGAUACAGCUACUAAGUCAAAGCAGAAAGGCUCAAAAACCCAAGAGUCUAAAAAAAAGAAAUCAAAUGCUUCAGGUAGUGCUAAGGCCUAAGAAUAACAGGGAAAAAAUAUAUGCAAUGAAGGAGUUGAGGCUUAAAGUUGCUAACUAUUGCUUUGUGGAAAAUUAUUCGGGAGUGAAAUCAACGGAGGUUAUAGUCAGUUAUUCUGAUAUAUAUCAAUUGCCUUGUGAAGAAUUUCAAACAUUGAUCCCAGGACAGUUAAUAUCAUGUCGUGUUAUGGACUGUUUCUAUAUUCAUUUGAAUUGGGAGGAGGUUUUGGCAGGAUUUACAUAUAAUAGAGUUUUUUUUGGAGGUGAACAUAUGGUAAUUAUGAAGGAUUCUUUAUUCUAAUAAUUUAACAGAAAUUAUAGUAUAUCAUCCAUUUAUUUUUGGUUUUUUGUUGUAUGUAGUGGCCUGUUUUGCAGUGUGUUAUGGCUGGAGAUGGUUGUAUUUAUGAGAGAGAUGUAUAUGGUUCAUGGGAUGAAUGGUUUGAAUGUUAGAUGUACUGAUUUUUUGACUGCUAUGCUGGUAUAAUACUAAUCCUUAUCAAAAUUUUCUGGUAUUUAAAGUGAAUGAAUUUAGUAUGACAAGUUGGUAUAACAUCAUAUCUUUUAUUCCUGUUUUGCAAGUCUUUAUGCCAAUUUGUUAUGACAACCAUUUUGCUGUUGCUGUGGUGAACUUUAUGGAUCAAACGAUUGAUUAUCUGGACAACAGAAAGUAUUCAAUCUAUGAUGAGAUUUUAAAGAAAAAUACAACAAAUUUCGAUGGAUUGCAUACUAUGUAUUAUAGUAUAAUAUAUCGUUUGAUAAGGUUUUUUAUAGUAUUUGUUUAGAUUAUAUAUUUUUUUUAGAGUUUAGUUUAUUUGUUUGUGGUUUAGGAGAUACUUAUGUUGUUAUUAGGAGUGUUUCUUAGCCUGUUACUUUGUCCCAAUAUACUUUCACCUGACAGUUAUUAGGUGGUUACUUUGGUGGUUACUUAGGGGGUUAUUAAGGGGUUACUUUGUCAUAAAUACUCUUUCAUCUAACAAUUAUUAUGGGGUUACUUUGGGGGUCACAUAGGAGGUUAUUAAAAGGGUUCAUUUACUUUUUUUUUGUUUGGCUUACUUUUUUUUUUUACCUUGCGGUUACUAUAUUAUUUUUUUUUGUUGGAAUUACUUAGGGGGUUACUUCACCUUAUUUGUGUUUGGGUUACUUCUUUUUUUUUUUUUUUUACAUUGUGGUUAUUUACAUUGUGAUUACUUUAUUUAUUUUAAUUUUUAUUUGGGUUACUUCUUUUUUUUUUUUUACAUUGUGGUUACUUUAUUUUCUUUUUUGUCUUGGGGAUACUUUACUUCAUUUGUGUUUGGGUUACUUCUUUUUUUUUAAAAAAAGUUUGGUUACUUUACUUGGUUUUUUUUUUCUUGGGGUUACUUAGGGGAUUACUUUGUGACUUAGGAGUUACUUAAGUGAGUGGGAUUACUUAAGGGGAUAUUUUGUCAAAUUUAUUGUUACAUUUGACAGUGUUAGGGGAUUACUUUGUCACUUAUACUCUUACACAAGAUAGUAUUAGGGGGGUUACUUAGGGGGUUACUUUGUCCUAAUACUGUCAUAGAUGAUAAUUUAUUUUGACAAACAUUUAAUAUUUGAUACAAAUAUUAUUAUUUCAGAUACCAAACAUAUUUAUUACAAACUUAAUGUUAAUACAAAAACUUAUACAUUAAUACCGUUUUCUGCUUCAGUAGGAAGCCUUUCAAUUCCAUCACCAUUAAAAACUCUAAUGUAAAAAUUUACAUCUUUGUCAAAAUAAAUAUCCAGUCUUUCUCCAUGAACAAUGUUGUUGGAGAUUACAAAGUUUGCCCAUUGUUCAUCAACAAAACAACCACCACAACUUCUGGUAUCUUCUGGUACGCUUACCACUCUUACUUCCCAAAAUAUGUAUUAUUCCCACGGUGAAUUUUAGCUGGAUACUUGAAUUUUAAAAGAAAGUGUUUCCAUUCUGCAGGAAGUGGCUGAAAUAAAAAAGAAAGAAAGAAAAGAUUAACUUUUUACUAAAAUAGAAAAGAAAUGUAUAAAUAUAAAACUUAAUGCAAAAUGUAUUUACCAGACUAUUCCGAUAAUAUGUUCUGAAAUUAACAGAACAUUUUUCCAUAUUUGCAUAGAAAUCAAUCAUUGUCUUCAAUAUUGAAUAGAAGAAGAAAAAUAUAAG